GUUUGCUGGUCAGCCUGGGCAAAGGAAUGCCUUCUUAACGAAAUUAGGAUGUUGUGUGAAGUCCUGCUGUCGUCACUAUGGUUCCUGUUUGUUAUCUUCUGGGUGGAGACAAUAAGUGUUUGGCUGUUUCUGUCCAUGUUUUACCAGGACAGGGCAUUUUACCACUGGGGAGACGGGGUAUUUUCAGAUGAUCCUGGGCAGAUGAUUUACAUGUUAAGCAGGCA
This is a long non-coding RNA of Labrus mixtus (cuckoo wrasse), 224 nucleotides long. RefSeq lists it as uncharacterized. Lineage: Eukaryota; Metazoa; Chordata; Actinopteri; Labriformes; Labridae. The record is from RefSeq and is a predicted model, not a curated record. The transcript has 3 exons.